RNAcentral lists this ribosomal RNA (476 nucleotides) under uncultured bacterium. RNAcentral describes it as "bacterial SSU rRNA". It matches the Rfam family "Bacterial small subunit ribosomal RNA", at positions 915 to 1391 of the family's 1533-position model. The record is from RNAcentral.
GGGGGCCCGCAAGCGGUGGAGCAUGUGGUUUAAUUCGAAGCAACGCGCAAAACCUUACCAGCUUUUGACAUGUCCAGUAUGGUUUCCAGAGAUGGUUUCCUUCCCGCAAGGGGCUGGAACACAGGUGCUGCAUGGCUGUCGUCGGCUCGUGUCGUGAGAUGUUGGGUUAAGUCCCGCAACGAGCGCAACCCACGUCCUUAGUUGCCAUCAUUUAGUUGGGCACUCUAGGGAGACUGCCGGUGAUAAGCCGAGAGGAAGGUGUGGAUGACGUCAAGUCCUCAUGGCCCUUACAGGCUGGGCUACACACGUGCUACAAUGGCGGUGACAAUGGGAUGCUAAGGGGCGACCCCUCGCAAAUCUCAAAAAGCCGUCUCAGUUCGGAUUGCACUCUGCAACUCGAGUGCAUGAAGGUGGAAUCGCUAAUAAUCGUGGAUCAGCACGCCACGGUGAAUACGUUCCCGGGCCUUGUACACACC